GAGGGAUUAGUUAAAUUAUAAUAUAAGAUUGUCAGUCUUACGUUACUAGUAGAACUAGUAUUUCUUA
RNAcentral lists this transfer RNA (67 nucleotides) under Conus navarroi. RNAcentral's name for it is "tRNA-Asp". The record is from RNAcentral. Lineage: Eukaryota; Metazoa; Mollusca; Gastropoda; Neogastropoda; Conidae.